Molecule: long non-coding RNA, 1131 nt
Filed under: Linum usitatissimum (flax)
Lineage: Eukaryota; Viridiplantae; Streptophyta; Magnoliopsida; Malpighiales; Linaceae
Description: long non-coding RNA (LUSI_LNC006516)
Source: RNAcentral
CCCAAUUGGUUCCAAUGCAACUCCUACUUCCUUUCUCAUGUUCUCUUCCAACUGAAACAAUGGUUGCUUCGUCUUCCAUAUCAAUCCCCUUUGAGCUCGUGGGAGCUCUGUCACCCACUCUUUCUUCUUAACCCUUUAACCUCUCAUCCCAUCCUCCUCCAAUUCCACCAAGCUCCACCUAUUAUGAUCUGGGUCUAUUACUCUUUGGAUCCAAGAGAGAGAUUGUGGGAGGAGCAGCUGUAAUUUGGCCGUGUUGGGUUCUUUCCACACUUUUUUCCCCCCAAGGUACCCCAUGAGACAUAGAAUCGUUUCUUAUGUUUAUCUGGAAUUUCGUAUGAUUUCAUCAAUGAACAUAGAGAUCCAUAAUCUUACAUCAACCCUAUUUCUCCCCUUUUGAGCUCGUGGGAGCAUCAAGCUAGUGUUUUUUGCUUUAAGAAGAUGUUUGACACCCUUAACUUUCGUUUUCCUGACAAACAGUUCUGCAUUAGCAGGAACAAGGAUUUGGUUCAUAGAGAAUCCAGAUUUUAGCGUGGUCACUCAGUUUGCAAGGUCCGGUGCUGAUUCUUCUUCAGCUAUUGAUACAGAGGUGAGAACCAGUCCAGUGAAUUUGAACAUUGGAAAUGAACAACAUGUAUGUACUAUAUAUUUGAUAUUUCGAAACUGAUAAUAAUACAUGAUGAUCUCAUGGAGUACAGAUUAGUGACAGCGAGUUUCAUACGUUCAUACUUACUGAUGAAUUUUCUUAGUUGUAUUACCUUUGAGGAACAUAGCUGCUACAGGAUUCAUGGAAAGAAUUGGCAACAUUAGUAGGCAGAUUGACAAAGGGAAUGAAUGUAGGUGCUGAACCAGAUAGCUGGAAGUGGAAAUGGGUGGUAUAUGGAGAGAUCAUUAGUGGAAUAAAGUCUUUCGAAUGCAUAAGAACACCACAAUGAAUGCUGACGAAAGUACGAGUAGAAAAUAUCCCGACACAGGGAGAAACUAAUGUAGGAUCCUGCAGGUAAAACCAAAGCCUCAAGUUAAAACGUUUGGUGGAGCUACUAAUUGGAAGAGCAGUUAAUACUUGUACCUACUUAAUUCAGUAACUUGAUGAAUCACAACAAAGAUCAUUACAAACAUUAAUCGACAAUUAAU